GACGAACGCUGGCGGCGUGCUUAACACAUGCAAGUCGAACGGAAAGGCCCUGCUUUUGUGGGGUGCGCGAGUGGAGAACGGGGGAGUUACACGUGAGUUAGCUAUACCUGACCUUGGGGUAACUUCAGGACACUGGGGCUAAUACCGGAAAAGAGCUCCCGCCGCUUGGUGGGGGUUGGUAAGUUUCGGCGGUUGGGGAUGGACUCGCGGCGUAUCAGCUUGGUGGGGGGGUAGUGGCUUACCAAGGCUUUGACGGGUAGCAGGCCUGAGAGGGUGACCGGCCACAUUGGGACUGAGAUACGGCCCAGACUCCUACGGGAGGCAGCAGUGGGGAAUAUUGCACUAUGGGCGGAAGCCUGAUGCAGCAACGCCGCGUGCGGGAUGACGGCCUUCGGGUUGUAAACCGCUUUCGCCUGUGACGAAGCGUGAGUGACGGUAAUGGGUAAAGAAGCACCGGCUAACUACGUG
RNAcentral lists this ribosomal RNA (468 nucleotides) under uncultured bacterium. RNAcentral describes it as "partial 16S ribosomal RNA". It matches the Rfam family "Bacterial small subunit ribosomal RNA", at positions 28 to 507 of the family's 1533-position model. The record is from RNAcentral.